Molecule: unclassified non-coding RNA, 241 nt
Filed under: plant metagenome
Description: partial contains small subunit ribosomal RNA and internal transcribed spacer 1
Rfam family: Eukaryotic small subunit ribosomal RNA (bases 1-46)
Source: RNAcentral
AAGUCGUAACAGGGUUUCCGUAGGUGAACCUGCGGAAGGAUCAUUAUCGAGUAUUCGGAUUGCCUCUCGGGGUCCCGUUCUCUCCAACCCACUGUUUACAAACCACGUUGCCUCGGCGGGCCAGUGGCUUCGGUCGCCUUUGGUUCUCUCUACGGAGAACUCUCGAGCGCUCGCCGACGGGAUCACACAAAACUCGAUGUUAAAACAUGUCAAUUCUGAAACAAACGUAAAUACUUCAAAA